GUUUUCACUGUGAUUCGUAUCGGGGUGACUAGCUUGGUUGCAAAAAUUUCGCCUUUUGGAGAUGGAGACACUAGUUGCGGUUGGUCAUCAUCGGAGCCAAUAUUGCAGCAGGAGCAAGCCACGGAUCACGGAUCAUUUCGGUUCCUCGCCUCCGAGAGGCUUCAAAGGGAUCAAUUGCCGAACCUUUCAGUCUGGUGUGGCUAUUCUGCCGUCGCCUCCCACGAAAGAUUUCUUUUUUAAUGGCUAUUCGGAACCCAAAUCUCCUGUCUAUUAUUCGGAACCUCCCAAAAGAAGUAGGAGGACCAAACCCAUCCCUAUUAACCCCGUGCCGACUCCUAAAGAAGCCACCUUUGCCGAUGACUUUUCAUGCUCUGAGCUGUGGGCUGGGCCUGCCUACUCGAACUCACCCCCUCCUAGUUCGUUGCCCAUC
Molecule: long non-coding RNA, 430 nt
Filed under: Musa acuminata (dwarf banana)
Lineage: Eukaryota; Viridiplantae; Streptophyta; Magnoliopsida; Zingiberales; Musaceae
Description: long non-coding RNA (MACU_LNC004815)
Source: RNAcentral